GACGAACGCUGGCGGCGUGCUUAACACAUGCAAGUCGAACGAAAAUACCAAGCUUGCUUGGUUGAUUAGUGGCGAACGGGUGAGUAACACGUGAGUAACCUGCCCCUUACUUUCCUGGAUAACUGCUCGAAAGGGUAGCUAAUACGGGAUAUUCUGACCGGCCUGCAUGGGUUGGUUUGGAAAGGUUGUUUUUCUGGUGAGGGAUGGGCUCGCGGCCUAUCAGCUUGUUGGUGGGGUGAUGGCCUACCAAGGCUUUGACGGGUAGCCGGCCUGAGAGGGUGGACGGUCACACUGGGACUGAGAUACGGCCCAGACUCCUACGGGAGGCAGCAGUGGGGAAUAUUGCACAAUGGGCGCAAGCCUGAUGCAGCGACGCCGCGUGAGGGAUGAAGGCCUUCGGGUUGUAAACCUCUUUCGUCAGGGAACAAGGCACUGCUUUUGGUGGUGUUGAGGGUACCUGGAUAAGAAGCGCCGGCUAACUACGUGCCAGCAGCCGCGGUAAUACGUAGGGCGCAAGCGUUGUCCGGAAUUAUUGGGCGUAAAGAGCUCGUAGGCGGCUGGUCGCGUCUGUCGUGAAAACUUCCGGCUCAACCGGGGGCUUGCGGUGGGUACGGGCCGGCUAGAGUGCGGUAGGGGUAACUGGAACUCCUGGUGUAGCGGUGGAAUGCGCAGAUAUCAGGAAGAACACCGAUGGCGAAAGGCAGGUUACUGGGCCGUUACUGACGCCGAGGAGCGAAAGCGUGGGGAGCGAACAGG
RNAcentral lists this ribosomal RNA (756 nucleotides) under uncultured Actinomyces sp. Its description in RNAcentral is "bacterial SSU rRNA". It matches the Rfam family "Bacterial small subunit ribosomal RNA", at positions 28 to 776 of the family's 1533-position model. Lineage: Bacteria; Bacillati; Actinomycetota; Actinomycetes; Actinomycetales; Actinomycetaceae. The record is from RNAcentral.